AGUGAACGCUGGCGGUAGGCCUAACACAUGCAAGUCGAGCGGCAGCACAGUAAGAGCUUGCUCUUACGGGUGGCGAGUGGCGGACGGGUGAGGAAUACAUCGGCAUCUACUUUUUCUUGGGGGAUAACGUAGGGAAACUUAUGCUAAUACCUCAUACGACCUACGGGUGAAAGCAGGGGAUCUUCGCACCUUUCGCGUUUGUAUUAGCUGAUGUCGGAUUAGCUAGUUGGCUGGGUAAAGGCCCACCAAGGCAACGAUCCGUAGCUGGUCUGAGAGGGUGAUCAGCCACACUGGAACUGAGACACGGUCCAGACUCCUACGGGAGGCAGCAGUGGGGAAUAUUGGACAAUGGGCGCAAGCCUGAUCCAGCCAUACCGCGUGGGUGAAGAAGGCCUUCGGGUUGUAAAGCCCUUUUGUUAGGAAAGAAAAGCAGCAGGUUAAUACACCGCUGUUCUGACGGUACCCAAAGAAUAAGCACCGGCUAACUUCGUG
RNAcentral lists this ribosomal RNA (492 nucleotides) under uncultured bacterium. RNAcentral's name for it is "partial 16S ribosomal RNA". It matches the Rfam family "Bacterial small subunit ribosomal RNA", at positions 29 to 507 of the family's 1533-position model. The record is from RNAcentral.